This 45-nucleotide non-coding RNA is filed under the name Schistosoma margrebowiei. Lineage: Eukaryota; Metazoa; Platyhelminthes; Trematoda; Strigeidida; Schistosomatidae. The record is from RNAcentral.
AUUCAGCUGACGAGUCCUAAACAGGACGAAACGCGCGUCCUGGAU